GAUGAACGCUGGCGGCGUGCCUAAUACAUGCAAGUCGAGCGAACAGACGAGGAGCUUGCUCCUCUGACGUUAGCGGCGGACGGGUGAGUAACACGUGGAUAACCUACCUAUAAGACUGGGAUAACUUCGGGAAACCGGAGCUAAUACCGGAUAAUAUAUUGAACCGCAUGGUUCAAUAGUGAAAGACGGUUUUGCUGUCACUUAUAGAUGGAUCCGCGCCGCAUUAGCUAGUUGGUAACGUAACGGCUUACCAAGGCAACGAUGCGUAGCCGACCUGAGAGGGUGAUCGGCCACACUGGAACUGAGACACGGUCCAGACUCCUACGGGAGGCAGCAGUAGGGAAUCUUCCGCAAUGGGCGAAAGCCUGACGGAGCAACGCCGCGUGAGUGAUGAAGGUCUUCGGAUCGUAAAACUCUGUUAUUAGGGAAGAACAAAUGUGUAAGUAACUAUGCACGUCUUGACGGUACCUAAUCAGAAAGCCACGGCUAACUACGUG
RNAcentral lists this ribosomal RNA (497 nucleotides) under uncultured bacterium. RNAcentral describes it as "partial 16S ribosomal RNA". It matches the Rfam family "Bacterial small subunit ribosomal RNA", at positions 28 to 507 of the family's 1533-position model. The record is from RNAcentral.